RNAcentral lists this ribosomal RNA (164 nucleotides) under uncultured bacterium. RNAcentral's name for it is "partial 16S ribosomal RNA". It matches the Rfam family "Bacterial small subunit ribosomal RNA", at positions 608 to 772 of the family's 1533-position model. The record is from RNAcentral.
CACAGCCUGGGACUGCUCUGGAAACUGUGAAGCUGGAGUGCAGGAGAGGUAAGUGGAAUUCCUAGUGUAGCGGUGAAAUGCGUAGAUAUUAGGAGGAACACCAGUGGCGAAGGCGGCUUACUGGACUGUAACUGACGUUGAGGCUCGAAAGCGUGGGGAGCAAA